GCCUGGGUAGCUCUGUAAUUAAGCAUCUGACUUCAGCUCAGGUCAUGAUUUCAUGGUUCGUGGGUUCAAGCCCCACAUUGGGCU
This 84-nucleotide transfer RNA is filed under the name Felis catus (domestic cat). It matches the Rfam family "tRNA". From Rfam's summary of the family: Transfer RNA (tRNA) molecules are approximately 80 nucleotides in length. Their secondary structure includes four short double-helical elements and three loops (D, anti-codon, and T loops). The record is from Rfam by way of RNAcentral. Lineage: Eukaryota; Metazoa; Chordata; Mammalia; Carnivora; Felidae. RNAcentral also lists the same sequence under 2 other names.